CAAAGAUAAGCCUUCCCGCAUGCUACGGAGAGGCCACUGUUGGAACAUACAAUGCUACGUUUCAGUACUUCGGCGUCUCUUGUUCUUGCAGUCACUCUCAUAGUCAUAUGUGAGAACUUUGGAAGCGCUUCGAACCAUAACGUUGGAACUAGUCCUAUGUGUAUGGGAACAUGCUGGCUAAGACCAAAUGGAAGCUUUUAUGGAUGUCCAGGGUUGGGUGCAUGUGAGUGUAACGGCGUAGACAAAACAACGGACUGGCCGAAACAAGGUACCUGCAAAGACAAAACGUCAAGACGCCACUGAGAUUUUUUUGUUUUUUAGGAAGCAACGAAAUAAAAUUUGCUUUGCUCAUAGUUAUCUAA
This is a long non-coding RNA of Rhipicephalus microplus (southern cattle tick), 362 nucleotides long. NCBI's taxonomy places the organism in Eukaryota, Metazoa, Arthropoda, Arachnida, Ixodida, Ixodidae. The record is from RefSeq and is a predicted model, not a curated record.